CAGCCGCCGCGGUAAUACGGAGGGAGCUAGCGUUGUUCGGAAUUACUGGGCGUAAAGCGCACGUAGGCGGCGAUUUAAGUCAGAGGUGAAAGCCCGGGGCUCAACCCCGGAAUAGCCUUUGAGACUGGAUUGCUUGAAUCCGGGAGAGGUGAGUGGAAUUCCGAGUGUAGAGGUGAAAUUCGUAGAUAUUCGGAAGAACACCAGUGGCGAAGGCGGCUCACUGGACCGGCAUUGACGCUGAGGUGCGAAAGCGUGGGGAGCAAACAGGAUUAGAUACCCCCGUAGUCCCUGUCUCUUAUAC
Molecule: ribosomal RNA, 301 nt
Filed under: uncultured bacterium
Lineage: Bacteria
Description: partial 16S ribosomal RNA
Rfam family: Bacterial small subunit ribosomal RNA
Source: RNAcentral